CCCUUAGAUGUUCUGGGCCGCACGCGCGCUACACUGAUGCAUUCAACGAGUCUAAAACCUGCUCUGAUAGGGGUGGGUAAUCUUUUGAAUGUGCAUCGUGAUUGGGAUAGAUGAUUGCAAUUUUUCAUCUUCAACGAGGAAUGCCUAGUAAACGCAAGUCAUCAGCUUGCAUUGAUUACGUCCCUGCCCUUUGUACACACCGCCCGUCGCUCCUACCGAUUGAAUGAUCCGAUGAAUAUCAUGGAUUAAGGAUGCAAGUAGGUUCGCCUAUCUUCAUCUUCGAGAAGUGAAGUAAAUCUUAUCAUUUAGAGGAAGGAGAAGUCGUAACA
Molecule: ribosomal RNA, 329 nt
Filed under: uncultured eukaryote
Lineage: Eukaryota
Description: partial 18S ribosomal RNA
Rfam family: Eukaryotic small subunit ribosomal RNA
Source: RNAcentral